AGUGAACGCUGGCGGUAGGCCUAACACAUGCAAGUCGAACGGCAGCACAGUAAGAGCUUGCUCUUACGGGUGGGGAGUGGCGGACGGGUGAGGAAUACAUCGGAAUCUACUUUUUCGUGGGGGAUAACGUAGUGAAACUUACGCUAAUACCGCAUACGACCUACGGGUGAAAGCAGGGGAUCUUCGGACCUUGCGCGAUUGAAUGAGCCGAUGUCGGAUUAGCUAGUUGGCGGGGUAAAGGCCCACCAAGGCGACGAUCCGUAGCUGGUCUGAGAGGAUGAUCAGCCACACUGGAACUGAGACACGGUCCAGACUCCUACGGGAGGCAGCAGUGGGGAAUAUUGGACAAUGGGCGCAAGCCUGAUCCAGCCAUACCGCGUGGGUGAAGAAGGCCUUCGGGUUGUAAAGCCCUUUUGUUGGGAAAGAAAAGCAGCAGGUUAAUACCCCGCUGUUCUGACGGUACCCAAAGAAUAAGCACCGGCUAACUUCGUG
Molecule: ribosomal RNA, 492 nt
Filed under: uncultured bacterium
Lineage: Bacteria
Description: partial 16S ribosomal RNA
Rfam family: Bacterial small subunit ribosomal RNA
Source: RNAcentral